CCUACGGGUGGCAGCAGUGAGGAAUAUUGGUCAAUGGGCGGGAGCCUGAACCAGCCAAGUCGCGUGAGGGAAGACGGUCCUAUGGAUUGUAAACCUCUUUAGGCGGGGCGCAAUGCCGUGCACGCGUGCCCGGAGGGAGAGUACCCGCAGAAUAAGCAUCGGCUAACUCCGUGCCAGCAGCCGCGGUAAUACGGAGGAUGCAAGCGUUAUCCGGAUUUACUGGGUGUAAAGGGGGCGGAGACGGCAAUGCAAGCCAGGAGUGAAAGCCCGGGGCCCAACCCCGGUACUGCUGUUGGAAAUGCAGGGCUUGAGUACAGGAGGGGCAGGCGGAAUGCGUAGUGUAGCGGUGAAAUGCGUAGAUAUUAGGAGGAACACCGAUGGCGAAGGCGGCCUGCUGGACUGUGACUGACGUUGAGGCCCGAAGGCGUGGGGAGCAAACAGGAUUAGAUACCCGAGUAGUC
This 461-nucleotide ribosomal RNA is filed under the name uncultured bacterium. RNAcentral's name for it is "partial 16S ribosomal RNA". It matches the Rfam family "Bacterial small subunit ribosomal RNA", at positions 338 to 795 of the family's 1533-position model. The record is from RNAcentral.